This is a long non-coding RNA of Diabrotica virgifera virgifera (western corn rootworm), 235 nucleotides long. RefSeq lists it as uncharacterized. Lineage: Eukaryota; Metazoa; Arthropoda; Insecta; Coleoptera; Chrysomelidae. The record is from RefSeq and is a predicted model, not a curated record. The transcript has 2 exons.
GUAUAGUUGGCUGGGUCGUAAGGGGAAACGCAGCCUUGAAAGUACGAUGAUGGGAAAGCUGUUUGUAUCUGCAGCUGACAAAAGUGGCAUUUCGCCAAAUAAAAAAAAAACAGAGGAAGCCAUCAGAAGCUACAUGAAAAGGGGAAAGGAGAGGCUGACAGCCAAAGAAAAUAAAAAUAUGGUUUAAGAUGAAUACUAUUAUUUGUUAAAUUUUAAUAAAAACUUGUUUGAAAUA